This 816-nucleotide ribosomal RNA is filed under the name Phacidium chinense. RNAcentral's name for it is "Phacidium sp. GCR-2022a partial large subunit ribosomal RNA". It matches the Rfam family "Eukaryotic large subunit ribosomal RNA", at positions 87 to 920 of the family's 3401-position model. The record is from RNAcentral. Lineage: Eukaryota; Fungi; Ascomycota; Leotiomycetes; Phacidiales; Phacidiaceae.
CGGCGAGUGAAGCGGCAACAGCUCAAAUUUGAAAUCUGGCCCUUUCAGGGUCCGAGUUGUAAUUUGUAGAGGAUGUUUCGGGUGUGGCUCCGGUCUAAGUUCCUUGGAACAGGACGUCAUAGAGGGUGAGAAUCCCGUAUGUGACUGGUAGCCUACGCCCAUGUGAAACUCCUUCGACGAGUCGAGUUGUUUGGGAAUGCAGCUCAAAAUGGGUGGUAAAUUUCAUCUAAAGCUAAAUAUUGGCCAGAGACCGAUAGCGCACAAGUAGAGUGAUCGAAAGAUGAAAAGCACUUUGGAAAGAGAGUUAAACAGUACGUGAAAUUGUUGAAAGGGAAGCGCUUGCAACCAGACUUGCAUGUGGCUGAUCAACCGGUGUUCUCACCGGUGCACUCAGUCACGUUCAGGCCAGCAUCGGUUUCGACGGUUGGAUAAAGGCCUUGGGAAUGUAGCUCCUCUCGGGGAGUGUUAUAGCCCAGGGUGCAAUGCAGCCUGUUGGGACCGAGGACCGCGCUUCGGCUAGGAUGCUGGCGUAAUGGUUGUAAGCGACCCGUCUUGAAACACGGACCAAGGAGUCUAACAUCUAUGCGAGUGUUUGGGUGUCAAACCCAUACGCGUAAUGAAAGUGAACGGAGGUGAGAACCCUUAAGGGUGCAUCAUCGACCGAUCCUGAUGUCUUCGGAUGGAUUUGAGUAAGAGCAUAGCUGUUGGGACCCGAAAGAUGGUGAACUAUGCCUGAAUAGGGUGAAGCCAGAGGAAACUCUGGUGGAGGCUCGCAGCGGUUCUGACGUGCAAAUCGAUCGUCAAAUUUGGGUAUAA